RNAcentral lists this unclassified non-coding RNA (24 nucleotides) under Arabidopsis thaliana (thale cress). Lineage: Eukaryota; Viridiplantae; Streptophyta; Magnoliopsida; Brassicales; Brassicaceae. The record is from RNAcentral.
AAAAUGCAGCGUUUAAUUUAACUG